UACGUAGGAUCCAAGCGUUAUCCGGAAUUACUGGGCGUAAAGAGUUGCGUAGGCGGCUUGUUAAGUAGAUAGUGAAAGCGUGUGGCUCAACCAUACAAACAUUAUCUAAACUGGCAAGCUUGAGUAUGGGAGAGGUAGAUGGAAUUGCUAGUGUAGGAGUGAAAUCCGUAGAUAUUAGCAGGAACACCGAUGGCGUAGGCAGUCUACUGGCCCAUUACUGACGCUAAGGCACGAAAGCGUGGGGAGCGAACGGG
RNAcentral lists this ribosomal RNA (254 nucleotides) under uncultured bacterium. Its description in RNAcentral is "partial 16S ribosomal RNA". It matches the Rfam family "Bacterial small subunit ribosomal RNA", at positions 524 to 776 of the family's 1533-position model. The record is from RNAcentral.